This 507-nucleotide ribosomal RNA is filed under the name uncultured bacterium. RNAcentral describes it as "bacterial SSU rRNA". It matches the Rfam family "Bacterial small subunit ribosomal RNA", at positions 390 to 891 of the family's 1533-position model. The record is from RNAcentral.
GAUCACGCCGCGUGAGUGAUGAAGGUUUCGGAUCGUAAACUCUGUUGUUAGGGAAGAACAAGUGUAUAGUAACUGAUGGCACCUUGACGGUACCUAACCAGAAAGCCACGGCUAACUACGUGCCAGCAGCCGCGGUAAUACGUAGGUGGCAAGCGUUGUCCGGAAUUAUUGGGCGUAAAGCGCUCGCAGGCGGUUCUUUAAGUCUGAUGUGAAAUCUUACGGCUUAACCGUAAACGUGCAUUGGAAACUGGGGAACUUGAGUGCAGAAGAGGAGAGUGGAAUUCCACGUGUAGCGGUGAAAUGCGUAGAGAUGUGGAGGAACACCAGUGGCGAAGGCGACUCUCUGGUCUGUAACUGACGCUGAGGAGCGAAAGCGUGGGGAGCGAACAGGAUUAGAUACCCUGGUAGUCCACGCCGUAAACGAUGAGUGCUAGGUGUCAGGGGGUUUCCGCCCCUUAGUGCUGAAGUUAACGCAUUACGCACUCCGCCUGCGGAGUACGGCCGCCA